Molecule: ribosomal RNA, 113 nt
Filed under: Caerostris extrusa
Lineage: Eukaryota; Metazoa; Arthropoda; Arachnida; Araneae; Araneidae
Source: RNAcentral
ACGGCCAUACACCAUGCUGAAUAUACCGGUUCUCGUUAGAUCACCGAAGUCAAGCAUCAUUAGGUGCGGUCAGUACUUGGGUGGGUGACCACCUGGGAACACCGCGUGCCGUU